GCUGAUGUGGCGCAGUUGGUAGCGCGCUUGAUCGAAAAUCAAGAGGUCACCAGUUCGACUCUGGUCGUCAGCAC
Molecule: transfer RNA, 74 nt
Filed under: Chloroflexota bacterium
Lineage: Bacteria; Bacillati; Chloroflexota
Description: tRNA-Phe
Rfam family: tRNA
About the family: Transfer RNA (tRNA) molecules are approximately 80 nucleotides in length. Their secondary structure includes four short double-helical elements and three loops (D, anti-codon, and T loops).
Source: RNAcentral